Molecule: ribosomal RNA, 329 nt
Filed under: uncultured eukaryote
Lineage: Eukaryota
Description: partial 18S ribosomal RNA
Rfam family: Eukaryotic small subunit ribosomal RNA
Source: RNAcentral
CCCUUAGAUGUUCGGGGCCGCACGCGCGCUACACUGAAGGACUCAGCGUGUCUCUCCCCCUAUCCCGAAAGGGAUGGGCAACCCGUUGAACCUCCUUCGUGCUAGGGAUUGGGGUUUGCAAUUAUCCCCCAUGAACGAGGAAUUCCCAGUAAGCGCGAGUCAUCAGCUCGCGUUGAUUACGUCCCUGCCCUUUGUACACACCGCCCGUCGCUACUACCGAUUGGGUGUGCUGGUGAAAUGUUCGGAUCGGCCGUUUGUCGCGGUUUCCGCGUCAUGUGGCUGAGAAGUUCAUUAAACCCUCCCACCUAGAGGAAGGAGAAGUCGUAACA